This 305-nucleotide ribosomal RNA is filed under the name uncultured bacterium. Its description in RNAcentral is "bacterial SSU rRNA". It matches the Rfam family "Bacterial small subunit ribosomal RNA", at positions 334 to 656 of the family's 1533-position model. The record is from RNAcentral.
UUGUCCUACGGGGGGCAGCAGUAAGGGAUAUUGGUCAAUGGGGGAAACCCUGAACCAGCAACGCCGCGUGAGGGAAGACGGUUUUCGGAUUGUAAACCUCUGUCCUCUGUGAAGAUGAUGACGGUAGCAGAGGAGGAAGCUCCGGCUAACUACGUGCCAGCAGCCGCGGUAAUACGUAGGGGGCAAGCGUUAUCCGGAUUUACUGGGUGUAAAGGGAGCGUAGACGGCAUGGCAAGUCAGAUGUGAAAGCCCGGGGCUCAACCCCGGGACUGCAUUUGAAACUGUCAGGCUGGAGUGCCGGAGAG